GCAUAGACCUGGCCGGGCGCGGUGGCUCACGCCUGUAAUCCCAGCACUUUGGGAGGCCGAGGCGGGCGGAUCACGAGGUCAGGAGAUCGAGACCAUCCUGGCUAACACGGUGAAACCCCGUCUCUACUAAAAAUACAAAAAAUUAGCCGGGCGUGGUAGCGGGCGCCUGUAGUCCCAGCUACUCGGGAGGCUGAGGCAGGAGAAUGGCGUGAACCUGGGAGGCGGAGCUUGCAGUGAGCCGAGAUCGCGCCACUGCACUCCAGCCUGGGCGACAGAGCGAGACUCCGUCUCAAAAAAAAAAAAAAAAAAAAAAAGGCAUAGACCUACAUGUAAAAUCUAAAAUUAUGAAAUUUCCAUUAAAAACACAUAGGAGAAAAUCUUUAGGGUAGGCAAAACUUUCUUAGGUAGAAUACAAAAAAAAAGAAAAGGUUAGACUUCGGCCGGGUGCGGUGGCUCACACCUGUAAUCCCAGCACUUUGGGAGGCUGAGGUGGGCGGAUCAUGAGGUCAGGAGAUCGAGACCAUCCUGGCUAACACUGCAAAACCCCGUCUCCACUAAAAAUACAAAAAAUUAGCUGGGCGUGGUGGCAGGCGUCUGUAGUCCCAUCUACUGAGGAGGCUGAGGCAGGAGAAUGGCGUGAACCCAGGAGGCGGAGGUUGCAGUGAACCGAGAUCACACCACUGCACUCUGCAAUAGCUCAAAAGUGGGAACAAUGAACUAAUUUAGAAACAGAAAGUCAUGAGGCGGGCAGGUCACUUAAGGUCAGGAGUUCAAGACCAGCCUGGCCAACAUGGCAAAACCCCGUCCCUACAAAAAAUAAAAAAAUGAUCCGGGUGUGGUGGUGUGCACCUGUAAUCUCAGCUACUCAGGAAGCUGAGGCGAGAGGAUCGCUUGAAUCCGGGAGGCAGAGGUUGCAGGGAGGCGGAGGUUGCAGUGAGCCGAGAUUGCACCACUGCACUCCACCCUGGGUGACAGAGUGAGACUCAGUCAAAGAAAAGAAGAAAGAGAGAGAGAAGAGGAAGAAGAAAGAAGAAGAUGAGGAGGAGGAAGAGAGGAAGGGCAGGAGGGUGGGAGGGUGGGAGGGAGGGAGUGCAAUACUGCAUGUUCUCACUUAUAAGUGAGAGCUAAACAGUGGGUACAUAUGGUCAUACAGAUGGAGUGACAGACUCUGGAGACCCCAAAAGAUGAGAGGGUGGGAGGCUGGUGAGGGCUGGAAAACCACCUUUUGGGUAAAAUGUUCAUUAUUCAGGUGAUGGGAGCACUACAGCCCAGAUGUCACCACUAUGGAAUGUGUGCACGUAAGAAGCCUACACUUGUACCCUCUAAAUAUAUAUAUUUUAAAAAGUGGAAACAACCCAGAUAGCUAUCAGAAUGUAUUAUAGCUAUACAAUAGACUACUACUUAGCUAUGAAAAUGAACUAUUGGUUCCAUUUAUAUAAAAUUCUUGAAAAUGCAAAUUAAUUGAUAGUGACAGAAAAUCGCUGGUUGCCUGGUGACAGGUAGUGGCACUGGAGGAUGUGAGCAGUGGUGGAAGGGAGAGAUGCCCAAGAUGCACAAAGAAACUUUUGUAGGUGAUGGACAUGUGAUAGUGGGGAUGGGAUGGUGUCACAGUGUGCACCCCUCUCGAAUCCAUCAAGUUAUCUAUUUUAAAUUGUGUAGUGCAGUGCACAUCAAUUAUACCUCAAUAAAAUAGUAAAAUUAAAAGUGUACAUAUACACCAUAGCAUCUUGCUUUGUUCACUUAAUUACAGAUCUUGACUGAUUCAUAUCUAGACGAAUAAAUCUAUUCUUUAAAAAUACUGGAUAUUAGACAUUCCAUAGAUAUGCGGUAUCUUUUUACAAAUCAUUCCCCUUUUAAAGAACGUCUAAGUAGGUUGAACUAUUUUGCUACUGCAUGUUAUGUUUAACAGAGUACCUAUGAUUUGUGUGUGUGCGUGUGUAUGUUUCUAUCUAUUUAUCUAUCUUUGUGCACAAGUAGGGGGUUUUUCCAUAGGACAAAUACCUAGAAAUAGAAUUUCUUAGAUCAAAUGGCUUAUGCAUUUAGAAUUUUGUUAGGUAACUUUUAGGUUGACCCCCAAAGAUGUUGGACCAACUUAUACUCCCAUCAGCAAAGUAUGAAUAGAUUUCCGUUUCUUCCCCAGGCUCAUCAAUGCACCGUGUGGCCAAACAGAACAGAAGCUUGUUUUUCAUUCACGCUACCUCCUCCUCUCAGAGCUGGCAGGAGUUCUUGUCCACAUUGUUAAGCGGGGUCAUUGAUGACUGAACUUCCCACAUUUUGUGACAGCAGCAUCUAGAAUAUGCAGCACUCUCCAUCAUCAUGAGAGAAAAAGAGAUUGGAGAAUCACCCAGAGCUCUUUAUUGCCUCAGCCAAAUAAGUGACACAUGUCAUGUCUCACGAUUCAUUGGCCAGAACUAGUCCCGUGGCCCUGUCUGACUGCAAGGGAGCUGGACAACGUGAAGGAGCAGGUGGAAUAUUGGAUAUUUAAAUACCACUGCUUUAGUACAGUGGUUAAGAGUAAAGUAUUUGAAGUUAUAAGGAGGUUGGUUCAAAAAAUAAUGACUUUGCAGACAGGCGCGGUGGCUCACGCCUGUAAUCCCAGCACUUUGGGAGGCUGAGGCAGGCAGAUCCCUUGAGGCCAGGAGUUCAAGACCAGCCUGGCCAACAUGGUGAAACCCCAUCUCUACUAUAAAAACCAAAAAAAAUUAAUCGGUUGUGGUGGCACAUGCCUAUAGUCCCAGCUACUCGGGAGGCUGAGUCAGGAGAAUCGUUUGAACCUGGGAGGCAGAGGUUGCAGUGAGCUGAGAUGGCGCCACUACACUCCAGCCU
Molecule: long non-coding RNA, 2826 nt
Filed under: Homo sapiens (human)
Lineage: Eukaryota; Metazoa; Chordata; Mammalia; Primates; Hominidae
Description: HSALNT0067266
Source: RNAcentral